RNAcentral lists this ribosomal RNA (448 nucleotides) under uncultured bacterium. RNAcentral's name for it is "bacterial SSU rRNA". It matches the Rfam family "Bacterial small subunit ribosomal RNA", at positions 329 to 793 of the family's 1533-position model. The record is from RNAcentral.
UGCCAGACUCCUACGGGAGGCAGCAGUAGGGAAUUUUGCGCAAUGGGCGAAAGCCUGACGCAGCAACGCCGCGUGAUUGAUUAAGCCCUUCGGGGUGUAAAGAUCUGUCAGUGGGGACGAAACUUGACGGUACCCACAGAGGAAGCACCGGCUAACUACGUGCCAGCAGCCGCGGGAAUACGUAGGGGGCAAGCGUUAUCCGGAUUUACUGGGUGUAAAGGGAGCGUAGACGGCAGGGCAAGUCUGGAGUGAAAGGCAGGGGCCCAACCCCUGGACUGCUCUGGAAACUGUCCGGCUGGAGUGCAGGAGAGGUAAGGGGAAUUCCUAGUGUAGCGGUGAAAUGCGUAGAUAUUAGGAGGAACACCAGUGGCGAAGGCGGCUUACUGGACUGUAACUGACGUUGAGGCUCGAAAGCGUGGGGAGCAAACAGGAUUAGAUACCCCCGUAA